RNAcentral lists this ribosomal RNA (249 nucleotides) under uncultured bacterium. RNAcentral's name for it is "partial 16S ribosomal RNA". It matches the Rfam family "Bacterial small subunit ribosomal RNA", at positions 355 to 621 of the family's 1533-position model. The record is from RNAcentral.
UGGGGAAUAUUGGACAAUGGGCGAAAGCCUGAUCCAGCCAUGCCGCGUGAGUGAUGAAGGCCUUAGGGUUGUAAAGCUCUUUCGUCAGGGAAGAUAAUGACGGUACCUGAAGAAGAAGCCCCGGCUAACUUCGUGCCAGCAGCCGCGGUAAUACGAAGGGGGCUAGCGUUGCUCGGAAUCACUGGGCGUAAAGCGCACGUAGGCGGCUUUCUAAGUCAGGGGUGAAAUCCCGGAGCUCAACUCCGGAAC